RNAcentral lists this ribosomal RNA (856 nucleotides) under Xanthoparmelia tinctina. RNAcentral describes it as "eukaryotic LSU rRNA". It matches the Rfam family "Eukaryotic large subunit ribosomal RNA", at positions 71 to 942 of the family's 3401-position model. Lineage: Eukaryota; Fungi; Ascomycota; Lecanoromycetes; Lecanorales; Parmeliaceae. The record is from RNAcentral.
GGGAUUGCCUCAGUAACGGCGAGUGAAGCGGCAACAGCUCAAAUUUGAAAUCUGGCCCUUUCGGGGUCCGAAUUGUAAUUUGUAGAGAGUGCUUCGGGCGAGGCCUCGGUCUAAGUCCAUUGGAACAUGGUGUCAUAGAGGGUGAGAAUCCCGUAUGCGACCGUGGCUCGAGCCCAUGUGAAGCCUCUUCGACGAGUCGAGUUGUUUGGGAAUGCAGCUCAAAAUGGGUGGUAAAUUUCAUCUAAAGCUAAAUACUGGCUGGAGACCGAUAGCGCACAAGUAGAGUGAUCGAAAGAUGAAAAGCACUUUGGAAAGAGAGUCAAACAGUACGUGAAAUUGUUGAAAGGGAAGCGCUUGCAACCAGACCUGCCCGUAGGCGAUCAGCCGCUGUUCUCAGCGGUGUACUCGCUCUGCGAUCAGGCCAGCAUCGGUUUCGGCGGUCGGAUAAAGGCCUUGGGAAUGUAGCUUCCCUUCGGGGGAGUCUUAUAGCCCUCGGUGCAAUGCGGCCAGCCGGGACCGAGGACCGCGCUUCGGCUAGGAUGCUGGCGUAAUGGUUGUAAGCGACCCGUCUUGAAACACGGACCAAGGAGUCUAACAUCUAUGCGAGUGUUUGGGUGUCAAACCCAUGCGCGGAAUGAAAGUGAACGGAGGUGAGAACCCUUAAGGGCGCAUCAUCGACCGAUCCAGAUGUCUUCGGAUGGAUUUGAGUAUGAGCAUAGCUGUUGGGACCCGAAAGAUGGUGAACUAUGCCUGAAUAGGGUGAAGCCAGAGGAAACUCUGGUGGAGGCUCGCAGCGGUUCUGACGUGCAAAUCGAUCGUCAAAUUUGGGUAUAGGGGCGAAAGACUAAUCGAACCA